This 260-nucleotide long non-coding RNA is filed under the name Malus domestica (apple). RNAcentral describes it as "long non-coding RNA (MDOM_LNC010596)". Lineage: Eukaryota; Viridiplantae; Streptophyta; Magnoliopsida; Rosales; Rosaceae. The record is from RNAcentral.
AAUAUAAUUUGUGAUCGUUCUAGCUCUUUUUACCACAGUAGCAACAUUCUCUCUCUUCCCCAUUACCUCAAACAUGAGAUCAAUACAAUGUGCUACACAUGAUGUCCAAAACACAUUAUGAUGCUUCAUUAACUUUUUUCCAGCUUUGACAAAUGCAGAAUCGUUGUCGGUCACGACUUGGACAACAUUAUGCUCUCCCACCUCCAUGAUUACAUCCCUCAAUAAUUUGUAAAUAUACUUGUAGUUCUUUAUAUGGUCUA